UACGAGAAGGCAGCUACCUGGUGACAGGAUGCUAAUCCCAAAAGCCUCUCUCAGUUCGGAUCGAAGUCUGCAACCCGACUUCGUGAAGCUGGAUUCGCUAGUAAUCGCGCAUCAGCCACGGCGCGGUGAAUACGUUCCCGGGCCUUGUACACACCGCCCGUCAAGCCAUGGGAGCCGGGGGUACCUGAAGUACGUAACCGCAAGGAGCGUCCUAGGGUAAAACUGGUAAUUGGGGCUAAGUCGUAACAAGGUAGC
Molecule: ribosomal RNA, 255 nt
Filed under: uncultured bacterium
Lineage: Bacteria
Description: partial 16S ribosomal RNA
Rfam family: Bacterial small subunit ribosomal RNA
Source: RNAcentral